This 160-nucleotide ribosomal RNA is filed under the name Earina valida. Its description in RNAcentral is "5.8S ribosomal RNA". The record is from RNAcentral. Lineage: Eukaryota; Viridiplantae; Streptophyta; Magnoliopsida; Asparagales; Orchidaceae.
UCGAGUCUUUGAACGCAAGUUGCGCCCGAGGCCAUCCGGUCGAGGGCACGUCCGCCUGGGCGUCAAGCGUUGCGUCGCUCCGUGCCUGCUCCAUCCCGCCCGACGGGCGUGCCGGUCCAGGCUCGGAUGCGCAGAGUGGCUCGUCGUGCCCGACGGCGCG